GGUAGUCCACCCCGUAAACGUUGGGAACUAGUUGUGGGGACCAUUCCACGGUUUCCGUGACGCAGCUAACGCAUUAAGUUCCCCGCCUGGGGAGUACGGCCGCAAGGCUAAAACUCAAAGGAAUUGACGGGGACCCGCACAAGCGGCGGAGCAUGCGGAUUAAUUCGAUGCAACGCGAAGAACCUUACCAAGGCUUGACAUACACCAGAACACCGUAGAAAUACGGGACUCUUUGGACACUGGUGAACAGGUGGUGCAUGGUUGUCGUCAGCUCGUGUCGUGAGAUGUUGGGUUAAGUCCCGCAACGAGCGCAACCCUCGUUCUAUGUUGCCAGCACGUAAUGGUGGGAACUCAUGGGAUACUGCCGGGGUCAACUCGGAGGAAGGUGGGGAUGACGUCAAAUCAUCAUGCCCCUUAUGUCUUGGGCUUCACGCAUGCUACAAUGGCCGGUACAAAGGGCUGCAAUACCGUGAGGUGGAGCGAAUCCCAAAAAGCCGGUCCCAGUUCGGAUUGAGGUCUGCAACUCGACCUCAUGAAGUCGGAGUCGCUAGUAAUCGCAGAUCAGCAACGCUGCGGUGAAUACGUUCCCGGGUCUUGUACACACCGCCCGUCAAGUCAUGAAAGUCGGUAACACCUGAAGCCGGUGGCCCAACCCUUGUGGAGGGAGUCGUCGAAGGUGGGAUCGGUAAUUAGGACUAAGUCGUAACAAGGUAGCCGUACCGGAAGGUGC
This 730-nucleotide ribosomal RNA is filed under the name uncultured bacterium. RNAcentral describes it as "bacterial SSU rRNA". It matches the Rfam family "Bacterial small subunit ribosomal RNA", at positions 789 to 1515 of the family's 1533-position model. The record is from RNAcentral.